UGUUUGUUGUAAGGGCACACGGUGGAUGCCUUGGUAUGCUGAGCCGAUGAAGGACGUGCAAGGCUGCGUUAAGCCUCGGGGAGUUGUCAAUGGAGCGUUGAUCCGAGGAUGUCCGAAUGGGGAAACCCGGCUACUGUUAUUGGUGGUCACCCUUCCAUGAAUUCAUAGUGGUUGUGGGGGUUACGUAGGGAAGUGAAACAUCUCAGUACCUACAGGAGAAGAAAAUAAUAUAUGAUUCCGUGUGUAGUGGCGAGCGAUAGCGGAUGAUGGCUAAACUUUAUGCGUGUGAUACCUGGCAGGGGUUGCGUGUAGGGGGUUGUGGGAGAUAAUUGUUGUGGGUUCUGCCAGACCCACCCGCAUGUCAUAUGACGCAAGUGGAACUGGUUUGGGAUGGCCGACCGUAGUAGGUGAGAGUCCUGUACAUGAAUGUGUUGUGUGGUGUGGUGAUUGUGUUCCCGAGUAGCAGCGGGUUCGUGGAGUCUGCUGUGAAUCUGCCGGGACCACCCGGUAAGCCUGAAUACUCAGUGUGACCGAUAGCGGAUAGUACCGUGAGGGAAUGGUGAAAAGUACCCCGGGAGGGGAGUGAAAUAGUACCUGAAACCGUGUGCUUACAAUCCGUCAGAGCCCCGUAUGUGGGUGAUGGCGUGCCUUUUGAAGAAUGAGCCUGCGAGUCAGCGGCAUGUCGCGAGGUUAACCCGUUGUGGGGUAGUCGUAGCGAAAGCGAAUCCUAAUUAAGGGUGUUGUGUAGUGGCAUGUCCUGGACCCGAAGCGGAGUGAUCUACCCAUGGCCAGUGUGAAGCAAUUGUAAGAGGUUGUGGAGGCGCGAACCCACUUAGGUUGAAAACUGAGGGGAUGAGUUGUGGGUAGGGGUGAAAGGCUAAUCAAACUCCGUGAUAGCUGGUUCUCCCCGAAAUGCAUUUAGGUGCAGCGUCACAUGUUAGCUUGCCGGAGGUAGAGCUACUGGUUGGUUGAGCGGGACUAUCAUCUUAGCAAUGUCAGCCAAACUCCGAAUGCCGGUGAAGUGUUGUGUGGCAGUGAGACUGCGGGGGAUAAGCUCCGUCGAGUCGAGAGGGAAACAGCCCAGAUCGUUGGUUAAGGCCCCUAAGGGUGUGCUAAGUGGAAAAGGAUGUGGGAUCGCGAAGACAGCCAGGAGGUUGGCUUAGAAGCAGCCAUCCUUGAAAGAGUGCGUAAUAGCUCACUGGUCGAGUGGUUCUGCGCCGACAAUGUAGUGGGGCUGAAGCAUACCGCCGAAACCGCGGCAUAAUUUUUUGAUUAUGGGUAGGGGAGCGUCGUGCAUGGGGUGAAGCCAUACUGUAAGGAGUGGUGGACUGUGUGCGAGUGAGAAUGCAGGCAUGAGUAACGAUUAACAUGUGAGAAUCAUGUUCGCCGGAUGACUAAGGGUUCCUGGGUCAAGUUCGUCUUCCCAGGGUGAGUCGGGGCCUAAGGCGAGGCCGACAGGCGUAGUCGAUGGUUAACGGGUUGAUAUUCCCGUACCCGAUAAUGUGCGCCCAGUGACGAGGCUGAUGAUACUAACCUCCCACAUGCUGUCAGCGCAUACUUUGUGUGUGUUGGUGGUGUGUGGUUGGGACCUGAGUUGGUAGUAGUCAAGUGAUGGGGUGACGCAGUGAGGUAGUCACGCCCCCGGUUGGUGUGGGGUGUAAGCGUGUGGCCCGCAGGGUAGGUAAAUCCGUCCUGUAUUGUGGGUGAGGCGUGAUGCGUAGACCAUUUUUUGGUUGAUGGUGAUGAUCCUGUACUGUCGAGAAAAGCCUCUAGCGAGUGCAUUAUCGGCCCGUACCCUAAACCGACACAGGUGGUCAGGUAGAGAAUACUAAGGCGUUCGGGUGAACUGUGGUUAAGGAAUUCGGCAAAAUGCCCCCGUAACUUCGGGAGAAGGGGGACCACUGCUGGUGGAAUGGUCUUGCACUGUUUUUGCUGGUGGUGGUCGCAGAGGAUAGAGGGAAGCGACUGUUUACUAAAAACACAGGUCCGUGCGAAGACGGUUAAGUUGAUGUAUACGGACUGACGCCUGCCCGGUGCUGGAAGGUUAAGAGGACCUGUUAGAUCACUUUGUGGUCGAAGCGGAGAAUUUAAGCCCCAGUAAACGGCGGUGGUAACUAUAACCAUCCUAAGGUAGCGAAAUUCCUUGUCGGGUAAGUUCCGACCUGCACGAAUGGCGUAACGACUUCCCUGCUGUCUCAACCACAGGCCCGGUGAAAUUGCAGUACGAGUAAAGAUGCUCGUUACGCGCGGCAGGACGAAAAGACCCCGGGACCUUCACUAUAGCUUGGUAUUGGUGUUUGGUUCGGUUUGUGUAGGAUAGGUGGGAGACGUUGAUGCAGCAUCGCUAGGUGUUGUGGAGUCGUUGGUGAAAUACCACUCUGAUCGGACUGGGCAUCUAACCUUGGCCCAUGAUCUGGGUUGGGGACAGUGCCUGGUGGGUAGUUUAACUGGGGCGGUUGCCUCCUAAAUGGUAACGGAGGCGCCCAAAGGUUCCCUCAGCUUGGUUGGUAAUCAGGUGUUGAGUGUAAGUGUAUAAGGGAGCUUGACUGUGAGAGUGACGGCUCGAGCAGGGACGAAAGUCGGGACUAGUGAUCCGGCACCUACUUGUGGAUGUGGUGUCGCUCAACGGAUAAAAGGUACCCCGGGGAUAACAGGCUGAUCUUCCCCAAGAGUCCAUAUCGACGGGAUGGUUUGGCACCUCGAUGUCGGCUCGUCGCAUCCUGGGGCUGGAGUAGGUCCCAAGGGUUGGGCUGUUCGCCCAUUAAAGCGGCACGCGAGCUGGGUUUAGAACGUCGUGAGACAGUUCGGUCUCUAUCCGCCGCGCGCGUAGAAACUUGUGGAAGGCUGACCCUAGUACGAGAGGACCGGGUUGGACGUACCUCUGGUGUGCCAGUUGUUCCGCCAGGAGCAGGGCUGGUUGGCUACGUACGGGAGGGAUAACCGCUGAAAGCAUCUAAGCGGGAAGCCUGUUUCGAGAUGAGGUUUCUUUUGAGGUUCCCUAGAGAUGAUGGGGUUGAUAGGCCAGGGCUGGAAGGCAUGUAAGUGUUGGAGGUGACUGGUACUAAUUGGCCGAACGUAACACACAA
Molecule: ribosomal RNA, 3086 nt
Filed under: Corynebacterium renale
Lineage: Bacteria; Bacillati; Actinomycetota; Actinomycetes; Mycobacteriales; Corynebacteriaceae
Description: bacterial LSU rRNA
Rfam family: Bacterial large subunit ribosomal RNA
Source: RNAcentral